Molecule: unclassified non-coding RNA, 214 nt
Filed under: Centaurea horrida
Lineage: Eukaryota; Viridiplantae; Streptophyta; Magnoliopsida; Asterales; Asteraceae
Description: partial internal transcribed species 2
Source: RNAcentral
AUCGCGUCGCCCCAGACCAUGCUCCCCCAUAGGGACAUUUGGCCUGGGACGGAGACUGGCCUCCCGUGCCGAUGGCGCGGUUGGCCUAAAAAGGAGUCCCCUUUGGCGGACGCACGGCUAGUGGUGGUUGUCAAGACCUUCGUAUCGAGCCGUGGUGACGCUAGGGAGUUGCUCUCUAAAGACCCUAACGUGUCGUCUUACGACGAUGCUUCGA